ACCCAAUAGGAUGGCAAUCAAAUGUAUUUGUGUGUGUGUGUGUGUGUGUGUGUGUGUGUGUGUGUGUGUGUGUGUGUGUGUGUGUGUGUGUGUGUGUGUGUGUGUGUGUGUGUGUGUGUGUGUGUGUGUGUGUGUGUGCAUAUAUAAGAUUGUAACAUGUAGGUCUAUAGGCAUAUAUAUUCCAUCUGGAGCCAGGCUGGGUUCUCAUUUGUAUAAAGUGUAGAAACUGUGUAACACCAAGUCAAUCUUCCAUUCUGAUGAGUCAUGACAUGGUUCUCAGUUUGGCCCCUAAUGGUAUGGUGCUUGCAGUAAGUUCACAUUAAUUGCACGGGGUUGGGGUUGCUCCACGGAGAGAAAGGAGCCAUUGAAUCCAUGCAGCAUUCAGCGACCAGACACCUGGAUGCGUUGAAAAUAAAAGCCCCUUCAGAAGGACCAUCACGCAAAGAUUUUCGGAGGUAGACUGACACGCAACCUCGAAACGAGAUCACAGUAUGUAUGGACGACGAGGGGAGUGCAAUGGAAUAUUCUAUAGCGGGGGCCAACGAAUGGCUGUUCAUCUUUCCCCAACUUGACGCCCACCCCCCACUACACUGGAUGGGCUCACUAAUCACAAGAGUGUUUUCAGUCAGUGUGUGUGAUGGUGCAAAGUGGUGUGAGCGUCGCCUAGACCUCUGGGUCUCCGUGUUUAACUACUACAUCCAACCAGCACUGGGCCGGUGUUAUCAUCCCUACCUCCACGCUCCCAAUGGCUCUAAUCCGACACUUGUAUCUGCGACUGAAGCACCUGGAGACCAACUGUGGCAUGGCUCUGACAUGCUGUUGCCCCAUGGCAGCCUUCCAGCGGCUGCUGAUUCACUUACAGGGAAGCAGUCAUGUAAAACAGGAGUGCCAAACGCCAAUGCGCAUAAGCCCCGGGCCCAUGCCGCCUGAAACUUUAAUGGGGGUGGGUGGGUGGGGGGGGGGGUGGGGGGGGGGGUGGGGGGGAGACGACACACAACGGCGCAUUAGGCACGCCUGCCUUCUUAUGAUGAUCCACAGCCGGAUGUGUUUUGGGAAUACAUGUGAAUCGAUGAUCACAAUCUCUGUUAAUAGGGAAUAUAGGUCUCGGCUUUCAAAGUACCCCAACCCCCUUCAAAAAAUGUAUGUUCCAUCAUGAAACACUUCCAAUGGUUUGCAGAUAUCGGAUUGAGAACGACUUUAAGCCAUGAUGAUAGUUCUCUGCUGCCCAUCCCCUAGCUACCCGUCUUCCCGUUAACACUCUUCCCAACACUGUGCACUCACACAGUACACGCACACGUACACACACACACACACACACACACACACACACACACACACACACACACACACACACACACACACACACACACACACACACACACACACACACACACACACACACACACACACACACACACACACACGCACACACACACACACACACAUACCCUAUUCUGAUCUUCUGCCUGACUUCCCUCGCCCCAUCACCGGUGCUGUGUGCUCAAUAAUUCAACAAUCCAACACAAGCUCUCAGCUCUUGGGCUUCUUGUGUCUGGGAGACUUUCAAAAUAGCUUCCCCUUAUGCUGUAUUUAUUCAUUUAAUAUGUGUUUUCAUUGUUUCACUUGCCCAUGCUAUGAUGAGUUUUCAACGUACAGUAUAUGUGAGAAACCUGUCCUUAAUAACAAAGGAUCUAUUUACAGAACUAUGGUUCACAUGGAUCAUCUGUGGACAAGCAUGUGCAAUUUAACUAAAAAUUACUCAACCAACCAAUGCAUCCAUUAGUUCCUUCAGUUCCCAUUCAUGGGAGAGCCUGGUUAUGCUCAGCUUGCGGAUGAUUGGAAUUUAUGAUGAACUCAAGACUGUUAAAUAGUAUACAUGGAAACUGUUAAGAUGUUGAUGAUUACUGGUGAUUUUUUCUUUAGAGGUGGCCGUCUUUGAAUUUUUUCUGCGGAUUCCAUCAUACAUUUUCGAUUCUAAUUAAUAUGAGGUGAUGCGUGUAAAGUGGUUGAAGACACCUCAAAUUAAUCGUAAACAAAUACAAAUAACAAUGUUUCAAUGAACGUGAUUCUUGUAGUAAUAUACAAUUACAGAUAGUGUAAUUAAUUACCAGAUGUGAGACAUAUCUCAUUGUUUAAGUAUGAUAUCCAGAUCAUCUGUAUACAAUUUUGCAAUAGAUGUUAGGGAUAUUAGCUACAAUUGGAUCGGGAGAAAUGACAUUUUCAACUGAAAGUAAUGACAUUUUCAGCUAGAGUGUCUAGUCUGUCCCCAUGGCAUUGGAGUGCAUCUUUUACAAAAUCUGUGAAAUAUUUCUGAAACAUUUGCAUUAACGUGAACAGGGAACAAAAUAUGAUAUGAUUUUUAUUAACAAUAUUAUUAACGUAUUAUUAAGAACCACAUAUAUGUCAUACCUGCAUACAAUUAUUUACAGAAUAUAAAUACAGAAUAUAUGCAGAAUAUGUAUUUUUUAUCUUUCUUUUUUUAAGAACAAUUAGAUCUCUUUAUUGGCUACAGCCCUAUAAUUAUAGGUUGGUUUUCUACAUGAAGUGCAUUCAAUACAUAAGGCAAAGUAUAUCAGGGGAUGUUAAUCCAAUGUUAAUCCUUUUUUAGGCUACAUAUUGUAAUUGUUGAAUUUGGCAGCAUUGCCCUGUAUUUCUGCUAACCCUUUUGUGGAGGAGAUAGAAUGAAUGACAACAAAGGAUAUUCCUAUGAGAAGCAGGGCUUGUUAUAGCGUUAUGUUUAUUUGUUAGAAAUCAAAGUGGCAGAAAUGCAACUGCUAUUCACAAGAAGGUUGUAAUUGUUAUCAAAUGUUGUUCAAUGAAGACACUCUGAGAUGUUGAAUUUGUGACAGCGAAUAAAAGAUGUUCAAUAAAAGAUCUAUGCUUGCUGUUGUCCUA
This is a long non-coding RNA of Gadus morhua (Atlantic cod), 2895 nucleotides long. Lineage: Eukaryota; Metazoa; Chordata; Actinopteri; Gadiformes; Gadidae. The record is from Ensembl.